RNAcentral lists this ribosomal RNA (254 nucleotides) under uncultured bacterium. RNAcentral describes it as "partial 16S ribosomal RNA". It matches the Rfam family "Bacterial small subunit ribosomal RNA", at positions 524 to 776 of the family's 1533-position model. The record is from RNAcentral.
UACGGAGGGUGCAAGCAUUAAUCGGAUUUAUUGGGCGUAAAGGGCGCGUAGGCGGACUUGCAAGUCAGAUGUGAAAUCCCGGGGCUCAACCCCGGAACAGCAUUUGAAACUACAGGUCUUGAGGGUAGGCGGAGAAAACGGAAUUCCACAAGUAGCGGUGAAAUGCGUAGAUAUGUGGAAGAACAUCGGUGGCGAAGGCGGUUUUCUAGCUUAUUUCCUGACGCUGAGGCGCGAAAGCAAGGGGAUCAAACAGG